Non-coding RNA from Peromyscus maniculatus bairdii (prairie deer mouse), 842 nucleotides. The record is from RefSeq and is a predicted model, not a curated record. Lineage: Eukaryota; Metazoa; Chordata; Mammalia; Rodentia; Cricetidae.
ACCCGCCGCGGCCGCUUCUGCCGCCAGCCGAGACCGCGCCGCCCCCGCCGCGCCCGCUGUGCUCGCCCUAUUGGCUGUCGGGAUUCAGACCCCGCCCUUCAGCCCCGUCCGCGCUCCGGAUUGGACAGACCAACGCAGAGGCGGCACGCCCCCAAGCACGCUCAAGGGGACUUCCCUGGGUCUGCCUUUGCCCUUCUCCAAACAAAAGAUUUUCCAUACGUCACAGAAGCACCUCUGUGUCCUGGGCUGCAGCCGGGAUGGAAGACAGAGCCAGCCUCUCAGAGCCUAGACACAGAAGGCCAGGUGCCUGUCUGCACCACCCACCUCCCAGCAGCCCCUGCUGGCUGGCGCAACAGAAGGGAAGACGAGAGCGGUCAGGGAAGGAGACGUCAGAGCAGGGCACAUCGGGUUCUGGGAGAAGCCAGAGAUAAGCACAAUCUGGACGAUACUUGAGAGGCCAGCAACGGGAAUGUGAAGGGUUGGUGUUCCAGGACACGAUCCUCCUUCAAGGAGCUCAGCUUGAAAGACCAGCUGCGUCCAGAAGCCACGCCAGACUGCCCACAUCAGAAAGGAUGGAACACCUUUAUUCCUGCUGCUCUGGCCUGGAGUCUGCACUGUUGGUUCCCAGAUGUCUGGGAACUUUAGGAGGAUGUGCAUCCUGUGAGUUCGAGGCCAGCCGGGGAUACAGAGGAGGAUGUGCAUCAAGGUCUUGAAAGGUACCGAAAAAGAAAAAAAGUCACUGGAGCUGAGCUCAUUCAGUAUAGUACUUGCCAUGCAAGCAUAUGACCUGAGUUUGAACCACUGAACUUGGAUGAAGAAAAAUUGAAAGUAUGGCAUGGUGA